UACGAAGGGGGCUAGCGUUGCUCGGAAUCACUGGGCGUAAAGCGCACGUAGGCGGCUUUCUAAGUCAGGGGUGAAAUCCUGGAGCUCAACUCCAGAACUGCCUUUGAUACUGGAGAGCUUGAGUCCGGGAGAGGUGAGUGGAACUCCGAGUGUAGAGGUGAAAUUCGUAGAUAUUCGGAAGAACACCAGUGGCGAAGGCGGCCGGCUGGGCCGUCCCUGGACGCUGAGGCGCGAAAGCGUGGGGAGCGAACAGG
RNAcentral lists this ribosomal RNA (254 nucleotides) under uncultured bacterium. RNAcentral's name for it is "partial 16S ribosomal RNA". It matches the Rfam family "Bacterial small subunit ribosomal RNA", at positions 524 to 776 of the family's 1533-position model. The record is from RNAcentral.